GCUUGCUCAGUGACUCAACUCAAGAGUGGUGUUGUGUGAGAGAGAGAAGAAGAAGGAGAAAGAUAAAAAAAAAUGGGAGGAAAAGGUGCGAUGAUGGUGGCGAUACUCUGCCUUUGGGCACUCUCUGCAACAUCAGAAGCAGUUGUAACAGAGGAGGAGCCCGGCUUGAUGAUGAACUUCUACAAGGACACGUGUCCUCAGGCCGAAGACAUCAUCCGUGAACAAGUCAAACUCCUCUACAAACGCCACAAGAACACCGCUUUUUCUUGGCUCCGUAACAUCUUCCACGACUGCGCCGUGGAGGUCCCAACUCUCUCUCUCUCUCUUACUCUCUCUCUGUCUCUAGAUCUCUCUUUCUCUCAAUGAUAUUUCAUGUUUUGCGUGAUGGGAUAGGAUUUCUUGGAUGAUUUUAGUGGAAAAGUACCAAUCGUUGUGUAAAACAUAGCUUAAGGUUAGAACUUUUUACUUGAAACAGAGCUAAAGAUUAACUCUGUUUUGUAAUACAGUC
This 508-nucleotide long non-coding RNA is filed under the name Eutrema salsugineum. Its description in RNAcentral is "long non-coding RNA (ESAL_LNC002096)". The record is from RNAcentral. Lineage: Eukaryota; Viridiplantae; Streptophyta; Magnoliopsida; Brassicales; Brassicaceae.